This 279-nucleotide ribosomal RNA is filed under the name Triticum aestivum (bread wheat). Its description in RNAcentral is "partial small subunit ribosomal RNA". The record is from RNAcentral. Lineage: Eukaryota; Viridiplantae; Streptophyta; Magnoliopsida; Poales; Poaceae.
AUGGGUAUAGACGGUCUUUCAUUAUUCUUCAUGAUAUUGACCACAUUUCUGAUCCCUAUUUGCAUUUUAGUGGGUUGGUCUGGUUUGAGAAGUUUUGGGAAAGAGUAUAUUACAACAUUUCUAAUUCGUGAAUUUGUAAUGAUCGCCGUGUCCUGCAUGCUGGAUCCUCUACUAUUCUAUGUUCUUUCCGAAAGCAUGGCAAUCCCUAUGUUGUGCGGAGCUGAGCAUCUUCUAUUCACUGGGAUCAAGCUUUUCCUCUGCAGGGGCCUUGUGCAGUAA